This 87-nucleotide transfer RNA is filed under the name Salinisphaera sp. LB1. Its description in RNAcentral is "tRNA-Leu". It matches the Rfam family "tRNA". From Rfam's summary of the family: Transfer RNA (tRNA) molecules are approximately 80 nucleotides in length. Their secondary structure includes four short double-helical elements and three loops (D, anti-codon, and T loops). Lineage: Bacteria; Pseudomonadati; Pseudomonadota; Gammaproteobacteria; Salinisphaerales; Salinisphaeraceae. The record is from RNAcentral. RNAcentral also lists the same sequence under 2 other names.
GCCCGGGUGGCGGAACUGGUAGACGCGUCGGAUUCAAAAUCCGAUUUUGGAAACAAAGUGCGAGUUCGAGUCUCGCCCCGGGCACCA